CCCUUUUCUGAAGUUGCCCUCCAGCCGAGAGAAUCCUUAAAAGGCCCUAUUUUCCUCUGCCACUCUCAAUCCUCGCAGGUACUAAUCUAAUCAUGUUAUUAUUAUUAUUAUUUUUUUGCAACCCCCGUUUGAUUCCCAAGAAAAUCCAUCCCCCAUUCGAUUUCCGGGAAAAUUCAUCCUCGUUUGAUUUCCGAGAAAAUCCAAGCAAAAACCCUGCAACCCGUUUGAUUCCCAAGAAAUCCAUCCCCCAUUUGAUUU
Molecule: long non-coding RNA, 258 nt
Filed under: Vitis vinifera (wine grape)
Lineage: Eukaryota; Viridiplantae; Streptophyta; Magnoliopsida; Vitales; Vitaceae
Description: long non-coding RNA (VVIN_LNC006831)
Source: RNAcentral